AACAAGGCGUACCUGCGGACCUGCGGAAGGAUCAUUACCGAGUCACGUGCUCAAACAACCCUUCUGUGGACCUGAAAUAAAACCGUUGCCUCGGCGGGCGGUCCCCCCCAAACCAACCCCACGUGGUGGGUUAGGGGAGACCAGACAGUCCGGUACGCUUAAGGCGUCCGGCGCCAGCCGCUGGCCCCAAACAAUUAAACUCUAGUAAUCUUUACCUUCUGAGUUUCAAUAUUUAAAAAU
Molecule: unclassified non-coding RNA, 240 nt
Filed under: soil metagenome
Description: partial contains 5.8S ribosomal RNA, internal transcribed spacer 2, and large subunit ribosomal RNA
Source: RNAcentral